This is a long non-coding RNA of Bactrocera neohumeralis, 551 nucleotides long. RefSeq lists it as uncharacterized. The record is from RefSeq and is a predicted model, not a curated record. The transcript is spliced from 2 exons. NCBI's taxonomy places the organism in Eukaryota, Metazoa, Arthropoda, Insecta, Diptera, Tephritidae.
UCCCCUUUUCUUUAGCCAGCGCGCUCGUAAGCGUCGAUCCCUUUUAUGGUAGAAUGUAUAAAAGCAAUGAAUUGACUGGAGGUCAAUCAUUCAACUCUCCGUACUCGUUGUCUUCGCUUUAUUCACGAUGAAUACAAAACUCGCGGUUAUCUUUGUUGUCUUUUUGCUCAUUGCAGCUGUGGGAUUCACACAGGCCGAUUGGUUGGACGAUCUAAACGAAGGAACGAGUCAAGUAGUUAAUGCGGUGAAUGAAAAUGCGGGGAAGAUCAAUAAAAUUGCUACAAAUAUUGAUGCCCUUGGAAAGAUACUAAAAACUUUGGAUCCAGAUUCGAAUGAAGAGGAAUAAUUUGUUUUUUAUUAUUUUUAGUUUUAACGAAAGAUUUUCAUUGGCUGUGUAAUCUCUGUAGAAUUAGUACAUUUUUGAAAAUGUCAAAGAAUUUAUAACUUUAGAAUAUUUAAUAGUUUUUAAUAAGAUACAGGAAAAAUGUUUUAUUGGUCUUUUUAAUAUUAAUGAUAUACAUAAAUAAUGAAUAAAAUUUUAAAAUAUACUA